Molecule: ribosomal RNA, 370 nt
Filed under: Colpodea sp. BioMarKs_Marine_Colpodea_OTU_22
Lineage: Eukaryota; Ciliophora; Colpodea
Description: bacterial SSU rRNA
Rfam family: Eukaryotic small subunit ribosomal RNA
Source: RNAcentral
AGCUCCAAUAGCGUAUAUUAAAGUUGUUGCAGUUAAAAAGCUCGUAGUCGAAGUUCUGGCUGGCUCCUCUUCCGGCUUCGGUCGAUCUGGAGCCUAGUCAUCCGCUUGAGAACCCAUGUUCGUCCUUUACUGGUCGCGUGGGGGAACAGGUACUUUACUUUGAAAAAAUUAGAGUGUUUCAGGCAGGCUGUUGCUCGAAUACUCCAGCAUGGAAUAAUGGAAUAGGACUUUGUUCUAUUUUGUUGGUUAUUAGAACAAAGUAAUGAUUAAUAGGGACAGUUGGGGGCAUUCGUACUUAAUUGUCAGAGGUGAAAUUCUUGGAUUUAUUAAAGACGAACUAAUGCGAAAGCAUUUGCCAAGGAUGUUUUCA